Molecule: long non-coding RNA, 2802 nt
Organism: Mauremys mutica (yellowpond turtle)
Lineage: Eukaryota; Metazoa; Chordata; Testudines; Geoemydidae
Exons: 6
Source: RefSeq, a predicted model, not a curated record
CUUCAGGUUAAAAGCCCAAAUGAGGUUGAUUGGCAAUUAGCUCAGAGACAAAUUGGAGAUUAAGGAACCCUGGGGAGUGGGAGGAGUUUGAUUAAUGGGACUGUUUGCAAACCCUCAGCCAAAGAGAAGUGAGCCCUGUGCGAGGGAAGCUGAGCUCCAGACAGAUACAAGUAAAGGAAAAUGGGUGGGACAAACACCGUGGGCUGAGACAUGACAUCAAUAACAGCUUCUUGUGUAGGGGUCCCAGAAAAGAAGCCCCACUCCUUCAAUUUGCUGCAGCAAAUUUGAUGGGGCAGGUCAGAGGGAACUGAGGUCAAAGUACGUUACUGAGCCCACAAGAAGAAAGACUGUUCUGUUUGUUUGGACUACUGUAUUUACCUCUGAAGAGGAGGACUUUAUAUUUGAUUGGAGAGCCAAAUCACCCAGCUGCCAGAGUGAGAGGCGCUGUCUGUGGAGGGGACACUAAGACAUGUAUGAAACGGUGAACUGAGGUGGUGACUAUGAAUCGAUACCAGAGAGGAGGAACAUCCCACAUUUUAGAUGCCACUUCACCUCUGUCCUACGCAAAUCUGGUGUUGUCUUUUAUUAUUGCCAGGAGCAAAGAUGAAUCAUGAAACUGAAGUUACGGGAAGUUGAUUUCUGAAACAAAUCACAUCACUCAACUAAAAAUGCUGCCGCUCUCCCUUUCCAGGGUUUUCCAGCAUUGGACUGGGGAGGCAAAAACCUACAGGCAAAGGAAUGAGGGAGCUCCAAGUAUAGUCUAAGCAAUGGUGGGUGAGUAAUGCUGUACCAUCACCUCUGGGACGCAGAGACAUAAGGCUAUAGUUCAGACUCCAGGUGCUUUCAGAAGUUUUCAUAGGCUACACACAACAUUCAGGGAGACCAUUAACUGCUUUAUGAGCUAUUUCUUCCUACAACUCAAGAAUAUACAUACACCAGGAGCAAAAGGGAUGGUAACGAGCAUUCCCUGAAGAUGACAACAGUGGGCCCCCCAGUACUUACCCUAGCAGUUGGGGUACAGCUACUGUGCUGGAUUAUCAGGACUCAGGAGAGCUGGACCAGAUGCACAUUUCUUCUGCUGCUCCACCCAGAGUCCUCUAGGCUGGAGUGAUGGUUGGACUCCCCAAAGGAGUAGUGUUUGGAGCUAGCACCGCAUUGAAGCAAAUAGGAUAGUUUGCACAUCUCAGAACUAUUGUUGCUAUAUGCAGACUCAGAGGGCUCUCGUCCAGAGGAGUCGGCUGACUGGCUUAAACUGUGAUGCCAUUCCUGUAAGAAUGUUUCUUGAAGGCAGCCCCAAAGAAUACAAAAUGUUGAUAUUUUACUCUUCCAUAUGCCAAGAAAAUGCAAGUAUGGUUCGCAUGAUUGCAGUGAGUACCUCGCCUCUGCAGGAGGAAAAUGGUUUGUGGUGUUAUCUGUUAUUGAAACUAGGUAGCAAACAAUAAUAAAACUGAACAUAAAAUGCAAGAGAGCAUUCUUACCCUAAAUUGCUGAAAGUCCAUCUUCUCAAAAGGGGAUUGGCUGACAUACUGCAUUGUCAGUCCCAGCUGUGCCACCUUCCAGGAAUGAUGUCAAAACAUGCCUGCCCCUGGAGGUUUAGAGUGCCCAUGUACUGUAGUUUGGGGCCACCUGCUGCAUUUCUGAGCCAGCUCAUUUCUACACAGUGCUCACUGGAGCAGAGAAGAUUAACUUUCUGAAAAUGAAAAAGGACAGAUAGAAGAACUGCUUAUCAAAUAUGCACAUUUCAGAUGGAACUUCACACUCAGUAGAAAGAUGUUAGAUUGCUGUUAGCUCUCUGGAGCGCUCCUGACAAUGUGUUAUCAGGUCAUGUUUGCAUGACAGUGGCAGCCCAUGCAGGAAACAUUAAGUCAUAUGACUUCUAAGACGGAAUCAAUCAAGUGAACAGUACAGCUCCUGAAAACUAAUUUCACCUUCAUAAGGUCUGGUUAUCUGUGCGGCAGACAUGAGGUUUGUCAGCCCCAUUUCAGUCUGACCAGGUUCAGCACUGCAUCAAGAAUUUUAAUGAACCGAUACUGUAAUAUGUAUGAAAGAUGACACUGAGAUGAAUUCAUGAAAAGCCAAGUCCCCAUGAAAUAUGAACAAUUACUGCAAGCUUCAUCCCCCACUUAGCUCACAUAAAAUGUUCAUUUAAAAGGCCUUUUGUCUUGUUGUUAAUCAUUUACAAGUUUGUGUACGGCUUUUCAUCAUCUGUAAGCAGUUUUAAAGCUGAAAAUGAGUGUCAGUAUUUUUUGUGACAUCAGGGUACCAAGGGCACCUUGUUAAAUGCAAAGUAAUACUAGUAAUACUGUUAAGUUUUUCCAGACUCCUUGUCAUAGCAUUAUCAGCUUGUGUCCGUGCAUAUUGUGAAAACAUGCAACUGCCUUGGGGUGCACUGACCUGCCAUACAGUGAAUUGUGGUGUCUGCUGUAGUAUUUAUAGCACAGGAAUAACUGGACUCAGCCACAGAGGAGGUACUUGCUUUGUCUGCUCGAGUCCAGGCGAGGUAUGUCAGGGAGAAAACCUCUCUCUGAGUCAGGGAUCCGGUUACAAGACAGCAGUAGGACACUAGUAACUCUUUUAGUGGCUGAAUGAAUUACAGAUAUUUUCUGGCACUAUUUCUGGAAGUCAUCGUUCAGCACCUUCUUUCCAGAAAAUACGACUCUGGGAGAUUGUAGCUUGCAGGAAUACCAAGAGGAAAAAAGAGAAGCCCCAAUCCACCAGUAGGGUGGCAAGAGUACCAAAAUAUUUCCUUAUUAGUGGGCCAGACACAUCCCUUCAGGUUUGAGGGUUCUUGAAUCCCUGCAC